AUUGAACGCUGGCGGAAUGCUUUACACAUGCAAGUCGAACGGUAGAGGGGGCAACCCCUUGAGAGUGGCGAACGGGUGAGUAAUAUAUCGGAACGUGCCCAGUCGUGGGGAUAACGUAGCGAAAGUUACGCUAAUACCGCAUACGAUCUAAGGAUGAAAGCGGGGGAUCGCAAGACCUCGCGCGAUUGGAGCGGCCGAUAUCAGAUUAGGUAGUUGGUGAGGUAAAGGCUCACCAAGCCAACGAUCUGUAGCUGGUCUGAGAGGACGACCAGCCACACUGGGACUGAGACACGGCCCAGACUCCUACGGGAGGCAGCAGUGGGGAAUUUUGGACAAUGGGCGCAAGCCUGAUCCAGCAAUGCCGCGUGCAGGAUGAAGGCCUCGGUU
This 387-nucleotide ribosomal RNA is filed under the name uncultured bacterium. RNAcentral's name for it is "bacterial SSU rRNA". It matches the Rfam family "Bacterial small subunit ribosomal RNA", at positions 30 to 424 of the family's 1533-position model. The record is from RNAcentral.